Molecule: small nuclear RNA, 102 nt
Organism: Callithrix jacchus (white-tufted-ear marmoset)
Lineage: Eukaryota; Metazoa; Chordata; Mammalia; Primates; Cebidae
Source: Ensembl
AUGCUUUGGCAGCACAUUUACUAAAAUCGGAAUGACACAGAGAAGAUGAAUAUGGCCCUACACAAGGAUGAUACACAAAUUCGUGAAGCAUUCCAUGUUUUA